UGAGGAAUAUUGGUCAAUGGACGGAAGUCUGAACCAGCCAAGUAGCGUGCAGGAUGACGGCCCUAUGGGUUGUAAACUGCUUUUGUAUGGGGAUAAAGUUAGGGACGUGUCCCUAUUUGCAGGUACCAUACGAAUAAGGACCGGCUAAUUCCGUGCCAGCAGCCGCGGUAAUACGGAAGGUCCAGGCGUUAUCCGGAUUUAUUGGGUUUAAAGGGAGCGUAGGCUGGAGAUUAAGUGUGUUGUGAAAUGUAGACGCUCAACGUCUGAAUUGCAGCGCAUACUGGUUUCCUUGAGUACGCACAACGUUGGCGGAAUUCGUCGUGUAGCGGUGAAAUGCUUAGAUAUGACGAAGAACUCCGAUUGCGAAGGCAGCUGACGGGAGCGCAACUGACGCUUAAGCUCGAAGGUGCGGGUAUCAAACAGGAUUAGAUACCCUGGUAGUCCGCACAGUAAACGAUGGAUGCCCGCUGUUGGUACCUGGUAUCAGCGGCUAAGCGAAAGCAUUAAGCAUCCCACCUGGGGAGUACGCCGGCAACGGUG
This 540-nucleotide ribosomal RNA is filed under the name uncultured bacterium. Its description in RNAcentral is "bacterial SSU rRNA". It matches the Rfam family "Bacterial small subunit ribosomal RNA", at positions 355 to 896 of the family's 1533-position model. The record is from RNAcentral.